UACAGGGGGGGCAAGCGUUGUUCGGAAUUACUGGGCGUAAAGGGCGUGUAGGCGGCCAACUAAGUCCGACGUGAAAUCCCCAGGCUUAACCUGGGAACUGCGUCGGAUACUGGAUGGCUUGAAUCCGGGAGAGGAAUGCGGAAUUCCAGGUGUAGCGGUGAAAUGCGUAGAUAUCUGGAGGAACACCGGUGGCGAAGGCGGCAUUCUGGACCGGCAUUGACGCUGAAGCGCGAAAGCCAGGGGAGCAAACGGGAUUAGAUACCCCGGUAGUCCUGGCCCUAAACGAUGAAUGUUUGGUGUGGCGGGUAUCGAUCCCUGCCGUGCCGAAGCUAACGCAUUAAACAUUCCGCCUGGGGAGUACGGUCGCAAGGCUGAA
This 376-nucleotide ribosomal RNA is filed under the name uncultured bacterium. RNAcentral's name for it is "bacterial SSU rRNA". It matches the Rfam family "Bacterial small subunit ribosomal RNA", at positions 524 to 898 of the family's 1533-position model. The record is from RNAcentral.